This 2313-nucleotide long non-coding RNA is filed under the name Homo sapiens (human). RNAcentral describes it as "HSALNT0378168". The record is from RNAcentral. Lineage: Eukaryota; Metazoa; Chordata; Mammalia; Primates; Hominidae.
CUUUCAAACAGAGAAGACCUGAUACACUGGUACAUUCUUGGACUAUAUCCCAAACUCAAUUGCCUCAUUGAACUUUAAUUCUUCCUAACAUGUUAUUGGAACCAUCGUUUUAUUGAGCACUCCAGCCCUAGAUCUGAUGAUCAACAAUGACUUUCUGCUAUCACUCUUGACUUCUCCCCAAGCCAAGCCCUACAGCAUACCCUCAUUUUGUAUUACCCUUUGGCUAGCCAUGCAAAUUUUACACUACCUUGAACCAUUCAGAUCUUAAUACUUUACCAUGUCAUUGAUCAUGUAGGCACAGAUUUCCACAGUCCUGAAGUGGAAAACCAAAUAAUUAUGAAAGACGUACAUUUUGCCUUUGUUACUAGUUCAAGGCUCCCUUUUCUAUACCCAUAGUCUCUUACAAUCUUGGUUCAUAAACUCUUAGAGAUAUGUCGAUGUCAUGAUGGUUGCUCUAUAGACUCCUUCUGCCUAAAUCAGAGAUGUACAAUUUUUGUAAAAGCUUAUAGAUGUCACAGAAUACUUCCUCCCUCAGUGAAAUAUUUUAUAGUAUGCUUCCUGUGUUCGUCUUCUUCCAUCACCAUGGUGAUUAAAGGACUGAUCAGUACCACGGCUACCUGGAACACAAACUCAGACAUAAUUGCUCUGGAACUUCUCCUGUAGUUCAAUCGUUGCUUGAGCCAGCAGAAAUUUGAUUUUAUGUUACUUGCAAAUAAAAGAUGCCUAGCAUCUAAUUCAGUCUUUCGUCUCAGGGAACUGCUUAUUCUACUUUAAGACUUUAGGAGACAGGGGAAGAAGACAAUAGGAGACAGGGGAAGAAGACAAGGGCAGCAUGUGACAAGAGCAAAAAAUCAAUUUGAUGGACUAACAUAACAAAUCUUGUGUUCUCUGAAACAACGGGGCCAGCUUAACAGACUUCACAAGAUUGUCAUGAUGAACAUAUUCAGCAACUCACUGCUCAGGCAGUGUUUCAGGAAGCUUGUCCAGUUGGUCGACAGGUAUAACAAGUUGACUGGGUCUGCAGUCAGCUCCAUCAGAGAGUGUGAAUAACAGAGCAAAAGGCAGAAAGAUUUUAUGUGUCUGGCGAACAGAGCAUCCCCAGGGAAAUCUUCAGAGGUUGAAAACAUUUUUCGGAAUUACUGCAAUAUACUACCUUUGUCAAAGGUGCUUACAGUGAUUGAAACAUAUUAAUUAAGUUUCCUUCCUGACCUUUGGGAUUGGGACUGUAAAGUAGCAUUAAAGCAGAUUUGUAGAAGAUAACAAAGGGGCUGUUAUCCAACCAGUGCUGACCCAAUCAUGCAUGCAUAGGGUCUCCUUAUCACCAUGCUUUUUUCUCCACAGUCUGUAUAGCCAGAGAGAAGUCAGGCUAGGCUUAUAUUCAGGUACUUUCUUCCGCUCUCUAAAGUUUGAAGGAUAUUGUAAAGCUUAUAGUAGGGUGGGGAAAGGGGGUCUUCAAAGACAUGAAAUGGCAAAAAAGAAAUAUGAAAUUUGGAGAGGAGCAGUAUAGUGAAAAUUGCUCAUGGCUUUUCUUACCAAUUGGUUUUUAGCAAUGAUGAUCUCUACAAAUAGUGUUCUCAGUCAUUUUGAAUGGAGAGAUGAACUAAUACAAUUCAUUUUUAAUCAGUAUUUAGGAAAACUGCCAGAUUGCAGGAAGCCAAAAUUGGUUGACUGUUAGUCUUUCCCCUGGAUUAACAAUCAUCUCUAAAUGGAUAACUUCCUUGUCUGUGCCUCAAUUUCAAUGUUCUCAAUAGACCUCAUAUGGCAUUUCCUGUUGAAAUAGUUCCUGAGCUCUCUGGUGAAUUUUGGAGGUGUUUGAGAGGUAGAUCAUCCUCCUGUUCAUGAGCCCCUGGCCUUUUGUGAGUAUCCCUUACACUCUUCAGGACCCUUCCUCCCACAGCACUGCCCUCCUGCCAGGGAACCCCACUGCGCUCGGUCCUGCAGGCCCUGACCUGGCCUCACUUGGGGAUGGACUCCUCAUCUAACAAGAAGGAAAGUUUCCUAGUUGAGAAAAGGAGUGAACUUUGGGAUUAAAGCUCUUCUUAUUUCCUUGACUAUGGCCAGAUUGUUUAACUGAUUUCAUUUCUUUUCUCUUCCUGAGACAUUCAGUCCUUACAGAUGUCCUGCUGUUUGGGUUUCCAAAUUACACUUCUUACACUGACUACCCAGAGCAUAAAUUCUGUUGCCACAUGGAUGUCCUGGAUUGAACCUGGCUCUAACGCUAGUAAACUUUGGGUCCUUAGCUGAAACCCCCCAAAGGCUGAGAACAAAAUGAUUGGUGCCAAAUAACCUCCACAAUCUAAAAUAAGAAGCCAG